GGAUCCAGACUUUGAUCCUGGCUCAGGAUGAACGCUAGCUACAGGCUUAACACAUGCAAGUCGAGGGGAAACGAUAUUGGAAGCUUGCUUCCGAUAGGCGUCGACCGGCGCACGGGUGAGUAACGCGUAUCCAACCUGCCCAUCACUUGGGGAUAACCUUGCGAAAGUAAGACUAAUACCCAAUGAUAUCUCUAGAAGACAUCUGAAAGGGAUUAAAGAUUUAUCGGUGAUGGAUGGGGAUGCGUCUGAUUAGCUUGUUGGCGGGGUAACGGCCCACCAAGGCGACGAUCAGUAGGGGUUCUGAGAGGAAGGUCCCCCACAUUGGAACUGAGACACGGUCCAAACUCCUACGGGAGGCAGCAGUGAGGAAUAUUGGUCAAUGGGCGAGAGCCUGAACCAGCCAAGUAGCGUGCAGGAUGACGGCCCUAUGGGUUGUAAACUGCUUUUAUAAGGGAAUAAAGUGAGCCUCGUGAGGCUUUUUGCAUGUACCUUAUGAAUAAGGACCGGCUAAUUCCGUGCCAGCAGCCGCGGUAAUACGGAAGGUCCGGGCGUUAUCCGGAUUUAUUGGGUUUAAAGGGAGCGUA
RNAcentral lists this ribosomal RNA (584 nucleotides) under uncultured Bacteroidota bacterium. RNAcentral describes it as "bacterial SSU rRNA". It matches the Rfam family "Bacterial small subunit ribosomal RNA", at positions 1 to 573 of the family's 1533-position model. Lineage: Bacteria; Pseudomonadati; Bacteroidota. The record is from RNAcentral.